AUAUCAAUAAGCGGAGGAAAAGAAACUAACAAGGAUUCCCCUAGUAACGGCGAGUGAAGCGGGAUGAGCUCAAAUUUAAAAUCUGGCUGGUUUACUAGUCCGAAUUGUAGUUUAAAGAAGCGUUUUCGGUGGCAGCCUGGGUAUAAAUCCUUUGGAAUAGGGUAUCAUAGAGGGUGAGAAUCCCGUCUUUGACUCAGUGAAUGCUACUAUGUGAUACGUUUUCAAAGAGUCGAGUUGUUUGGGAAUGCAGCUCAAAAUGGGUGGUAAAUUUCAUCUAAAGCUAAAUAUUGGCGAGAGACCGAUAGCGAACAAGUACCGUGAGGGAAAGAUGAAAAGAACUUUGGAAAGAGAGUUAAACAGUACGUGAAAUUGCUGAAAGGGAAACGCUUGAAGUCAGUCACGUUGUCCAGGGAUCAACCUUGCUUUUGCAUUGGUGUACUUUCUGGUUGACGGGUCAGCAUCAAUUUUGACUAUUGGAAAAAGAUUGAGGGAAUGUGGCAUCUUCGGAUGUGUUAUAGCCCUUGGUUGCAUACAAUGGUUGAGAUUGAGGAACUCAGCACGCCGCAAGGCCGGGUUUUAACCACGUACGUGCUUAGGAUGCUGGCAUAAUGGCUUUAAUCGA
This 622-nucleotide ribosomal RNA is filed under the name uncultured fungus. RNAcentral's name for it is "eukaryotic LSU rRNA". It matches the Rfam family "Eukaryotic large subunit ribosomal RNA", at positions 40 to 647 of the family's 3401-position model. Lineage: Eukaryota; Fungi. The record is from RNAcentral.